UACUCCUACGGGAGGCAGCAGUAGGGAAUCUUCCACAAUGGACGCAAGUCUGAUGGAGCAACGCCGCGUGAGUGAAGAAGGUUUUCGGAUCGUAAAGCUCUGUUGUUGGUGAAGAAGGACAGGGAAAGCAACUGAUUCUUGUUUGACGGUAAUCAACCAGAAAGUCACGGCUAACUACGUGCCAGCAGCCGCGGUAAUAA
RNAcentral lists this ribosomal RNA (200 nucleotides) under uncultured bacterium. RNAcentral describes it as "partial 16S ribosomal RNA". It matches the Rfam family "Bacterial small subunit ribosomal RNA", at positions 334 to 526 of the family's 1533-position model. The record is from RNAcentral.